RNAcentral lists this ribosomal RNA (254 nucleotides) under uncultured bacterium. RNAcentral describes it as "partial 16S ribosomal RNA". It matches the Rfam family "Bacterial small subunit ribosomal RNA", at positions 524 to 776 of the family's 1533-position model. The record is from RNAcentral.
UACGGGGGGAGCAAGCGUUGUUCGGAUUUACUGGGCGUAAAGGGCGCGUAGGCGGCCACCGCAAGUCAAUUGUGAAAUCUCCGGGCUUAACUCGGAAAGGUCAACUGAUACUGCGGGGCUAGAGUGCGGAAGGGGCAACUGGAAUUCUCGGUGUAGCGGUGAAAUGCGUAGAUAUCGAGAGGAACACCUGCGGCGAAGGCGGGUUGCUGGGCUGACACUGACGCUGAAGUGCGAAAGCUAGGGGAGCGAACGGG